AAUUCAUGUAAAUAAUGCGUAUUCCAAGAGGCCGCAUAUAUAUCUGCACAAUUAAAUUUCCAAUUAUUCAUGCCACGAAGAAACAGGAUGUAAAAUAAUAUGCGCGCUAAUUACGUUCGGCAUAGGUACUUUAUUACUUAUGAAUAGGACAUGAAAAUUUUGCAGACAUAUUGCGGAAAACAUUCAUCCUCUUGGAAAUAUUUUAUAGAUGUUCAUAAAAGCCACAAGUAUAUAGAUAUGUAUAAAUUUUACGAUAUGGCAUCGUAAGCUGAGAUAUUUAUAGCGAAAAGAUGAUGUCGCGCGAAUACUUUCUUAAUUUACUGCAAUUCUUGGCGAACAGCCCUGACGUUGUGUGUUUAGCCGUUUGCAGACGAGACAUUACCUUCGUUUCCAAAAUACACUGUCAUACCGCCUGCCAUAACGUGGGGCGCAUUCUAAGGAACUAUAUUGAUUUAUUAUUUGCUUAUGAUUCAAUCAGACAUUAGAUUUUUCGAAUUGCUUUUGACGUGUACAAUUGACUAUGUUUAACAUUUGUUAGCACUUUGCCAAUUGAAUUGAAAGAUUUCCUUGUAGAAUACAUCACAGUAGAUAUUCUGUGAAAGAGAAAAGAGAAAACAAAGGACGUCGUACAAUUAAUCCUAGCCAAAAAUUAAGGCAUCAUAUGUUUAUUCAUAAAAUCGAUAUAAUUCAGUGAAAGUUAUAAUAUCACAGAGCAAUUACUAUGCGAUAUUUUCGCAAAAAAGACCAAUAUUUCUCAAGUGGUCAGUAACUAAGCAUUCCAAUUCGUCUCGGUUCGUUGCAAUAUCGAGUUUCCAACAUCUUGUCUCUCGCAAUUGAUCACUCUCUUCCUCCUCUGUGGUAAAUUAAAUUAAUUAAACCUCAUCAUGGUCUGAGAUGUGCGAAGGUGCUACGGCCGAUUUCUGUAAUUUGAAAGAUCCCAUUUGGUGGUCUUGUCCAGUGUCACUCGAAGUAAAUUAAGGGCAGAGGAUAUAGAUAGAAAUAGAAAUACGUGGGUGGGGAAAACGAGAGCAAAAUAUGAAUGACAAAUGGCAAAUUUCAAAUAAAUUAAAUAAGUCUGAAUUACAGGUAAUUGAUCGAUCUCAGGAAAAGGUAUUACAUAUGACAUUACUUCUUUUUUACUAGUUAAGCUAUUUAGAUUUAUGUAUUAAUAAUUGAAAUACCAUUUUUCUGUGCAUAUUUUAAGCGGAUGUCGAACAAUCUCAUACAAUGUUAAUUAAAAUCAUUUCCUCUUCGAAUAAUUAAUUUCCGUUCUAUUAAUAAUUAUCAGCUAUCGAUAGGCAAUACAUAUUCAAUUUUAACUCUGGCGAGUCGGCGAUUCGGAAACGUACGUAAAGCUCGCGGUGUAUUUUUAACAUCGAGAUGCUCUCGUCUGUGAAAGUGUCUCCUCUGGUAGACUACAUUUUGGAGAGCAUAAUCGCGUUUAGUAUUGUCGCUCGAUGGCGAAAGCUCGAUCUACAUACAUGACAAGGUGCGAAUAAGUUCGUGAAAUUUACAUUAUGAUUUGUGAGAGUUCGAUCUGGGCGUAUGCGGAACGGAAAGAUUUUCGAUUUUCGAUCGAUCGAUGUAAUUUAUUGAUACGAUGACACUUCGAUCUGCAUGAAAUCUUCCGAUUGUAACAAUUUUUUUUUCAAAUUUACAUAUGUGAUUUGAGGUGAUGACAAAGAUUUAAAGUGUGCUUAAAAAGCGUGACAAUUCAUGCCAAGUAUUGGUGAUUUAUCUCAUACGGAUUUCAUACAAUCCAAAGAAUUAAUGAUUAGAGAUUCACACAAUGCAUGCUGGUAUCAGGAGCACGUUUCUCGGGAUGAGGAUAUUUCCGCGCCGGAGACGAAAAUCGCCCGACCAUGGGAGAAGGUAAUCAUUGUCUGAUGCGACUACUAAUUAUCUCCGUUCGGGUUGUGGAACAUUUGCUUAAUUGACAAAUUAGAUCGUAUUCUGUGAAAGAGAAGUUGUUAGACAAAUAAAGAGUAUUACUGCUGA
Nylanderia fulva is the source of this 1998-nucleotide long non-coding RNA. RefSeq lists it as uncharacterized. NCBI's taxonomy places the organism in Eukaryota, Metazoa, Arthropoda, Insecta, Hymenoptera, Formicidae. The record is from RefSeq and is a predicted model, not a curated record.